GCCAACGAUCAUACCACGUUGAAUACACCAGUUCCCUUCAGAUCAUUGAAGUUAAGCAACGUCGGGCGUGGUCAGUACUUGGAUGGGUGACCGCUUGGGAACACCACGUAUCGUUGGCUCUU
This 122-nucleotide ribosomal RNA is filed under the name Pachypsylla venusta (hackberry petiole gall psyllid). The record is from RNAcentral. Lineage: Eukaryota; Metazoa; Arthropoda; Insecta; Hemiptera; Aphalaridae.